CCUACGGGAGGCAGCAGUGGGGAAUAUUGGACAAUGGGGGAAACCCUGAUCCAGCGACGCCGCGUGAGUGAAGAAGUAUUUCGGUACGUAAAGCUCUAUCAGCAGGAAAGAAAAUGACGGUACCUGACUAAGAAGCCCCGGCUAACUACGUGCCAGCAGCCGCGGGAAUACGGAGGGGGCAAGCGUUAUCCCGAUUGUCUGGGUGUAACGGGAGCGUGGACGGCAGCGCAAGUCUGGCGUGAAAUGCCUGGGCCCAACCCCGGAACUGCUCGUGAAACUGUGAAGCUGGAGUGCAGGAGAGGAAAGCGGAAUUCCUGGUGUAGCGGUGAAAUGCGUAGAUAUCAGGAGGAACACCGGCGGCGAAGGCGGCUUACUGGACUGUAACUGACGUUGAGGCUCGAAGGCGUGGGGAGCAAACAGGAUUAGAUACCCCAGUAGUC
Molecule: ribosomal RNA, 440 nt
Filed under: uncultured bacterium
Lineage: Bacteria
Description: partial 16S ribosomal RNA
Rfam family: Bacterial small subunit ribosomal RNA
Source: RNAcentral